Long non-coding RNA from Carassius carassius (crucian carp), 315 nucleotides. RefSeq lists it as uncharacterized. The transcript has 2 exons. The record is from RefSeq and is a predicted model, not a curated record. Lineage: Eukaryota; Metazoa; Chordata; Actinopteri; Cypriniformes; Cyprinidae.
UUAAUUAUGCGUUUUCUACAUGCAGCUCAUCUGUCACCACUGGUACUGGAGACUCAGAUCUGGGAUGGAGAUCUGAAGGGGACAAUUACAGCUGUUGACUAGCAGGCAGCCAGGUGCAGAGAGUGUGUGGGCAUGUUGGGUUCUGUCCCAGGACAUCUCGUUACAGCACACAGAGACUGUGCUGAUGUGAUCCAGCGAGAGGAGUGUGAGGAUGAGGAGGCAGACCUUCCUCUGUAUGAACACUGAUUCAAUGCAAUAAGCAUUUGACAAAUUCCUUUUAAACAAACUUUACAAUAACACAAUUCCUCUAACCAU